Molecule: ribosomal RNA, 426 nt
Filed under: uncultured Actinomycetes bacterium
Lineage: Bacteria; Bacillati; Actinomycetota; Actinomycetes
Description: bacterial SSU rRNA
Rfam family: Bacterial small subunit ribosomal RNA
Source: RNAcentral
AACGCGAAGAACCUUACCUGGGCUUGACAUGUGGGUGACCGGUGUGGAAACACACCUUCCCUUCGGGGCACCUUCACAGGUGGUGCAUGGCUGUCGUCAGCUCGUGUCGUGAGAUGUUGGGUUAAGUCCCGCAACGAGCGCAACCCCCGUCGCAUGUUGCCAGCAUUUAGUUGGGGACUCAUGCGAGACUGCCGGUGACAAACCGGAGGAAGGUGGGGAUGACGUCAAGUCCUCAUGCCCCUUAUGUCCAGGGCUACACACGUGCUACAUUGGCGCAUACAGAGGGCUGCGAUACCGCGAGGUGGAGCGAAUCCCUUAAAGUGCGUCUCGGUUCGGAUUGCAGGCUGAAAUUCGCCUGCAUGAAGGCGGAGUUGCUAGUAAUCGCGGAUCAUCAUUGCCGCGGUGAAUACGUUCCCGGGCCUUGUA